GCCCGCGUGGCGUAAUGGAUAACGUAUCUGCCUCCUAAGCAGGGGAUUGCGGGUUCGAGUCCCGCCGUGGGUA
This is a transfer RNA of Folsomia candida, 73 nucleotides long. It matches the Rfam family "tRNA". Rfam says of the family: Transfer RNA (tRNA) molecules are approximately 80 nucleotides in length. Their secondary structure includes four short double-helical elements and three loops (D, anti-codon, and T loops). Further hydrogen bonds mediate the characteristic L-shaped molecular structure. tRNAs have two regions of fundamental functional importance: the anti-codon, which is responsible for specific mRNA codon recognition, and the 3' end, to which the tRNAs corresponding amino acid is attached (by aminoacyl-tRNA synthetases). tRNAs cope with the degeneracy of the genetic code in two manners: having more than one tRNA (with a specific anti-codon) for a particular amino acid; and 'wobble' base-pairing, i.e. permitting non-standard base-pairing at the 3rd anti-codon position. NCBI's taxonomy places the organism in Eukaryota, Metazoa, Arthropoda, Collembola, Entomobryomorpha, Isotomidae. The record is from Rfam.